AAAAAAAUGAAAUCUAUUUGAUAUUUCACUUACAAUGAAAAUUUUGUAAAUUAAAUUUACCAUUUUUU
RNAcentral lists this transfer RNA (68 nucleotides) under Amblyomma geoemydae. RNAcentral's name for it is "tRNA-Val". The record is from RNAcentral. Lineage: Eukaryota; Metazoa; Arthropoda; Arachnida; Ixodida; Ixodidae.